GGUUUAUUUCAGUGAUAGACAGAUUAUGCAUAUUCUGGAAAGAGAUGUGAGUAGCAUCUGGGAAGAGAAAGAGACAGAGAUCUAUGACCAACCCAAGUGUGUGAAAAGUAGAUGGGGUACUCCUUCACUGGUGCAGAAGUCAAGUGAUCCUCAGACACAGUCAGAAGGAGGCUCGGAUUCUCUUUUAAUUUAAUUUCUUCUCAGAAAGAGUGGUGAGGCAUUGGCACGGGCUGCCCAGGGAGGUGGUGGAUUCAUCGUCCCUGGAGGUGUUCAAGAACCGUGUAGAUGUGGUACUGAGGAACAUGGCAGCAAUGAAUAAGUCCAUUUGCAACCGGUGAUGUCACGUCAUUGCUCAAGGCUAAAUUGGAUGAAAUCACUUUCUGACUGGAUUUCCAGGCAGAAGGGCAUUGGCUAAUGGUGCUGGAUCAUCAAACUACACCUGGGAAAAAAGUGGGAUACAGGAACUACUCCACCACUCUGAGGUGUUUUCAG
Long non-coding RNA from Gallus gallus (chicken), 492 nucleotides. NCBI's taxonomy places the organism in Eukaryota, Metazoa, Chordata, Aves, Galliformes, Phasianidae. The record is from Ensembl.